UGCCUUUAGGUUCGGAAUAGCUCCUGGAAACGGGUGGUAAUGCCGAAUGUGCCCUUCGGGGGAAAGAUUUAUCGCCUUUAGAGCGGCCCGCGUCUGAUUAGCUAGUUGGUGAGGUAACGGCUCACCAAGGCGACGAUCAGUAGCUGGUCUGAGAGGAUGACCAGCCACACUGGGACUGAGACACGGCCCAGACUCCUACGGGAGGCAGCAGUGGGGAAUCUUGCGCAAUGGGCGACCGGAAAGCCUGACGCAGCCAUGCCGCGUGAAUGAUGAAGGUCUUAGGAUUGUAAAAUUCUUUC
Molecule: ribosomal RNA, 299 nt
Filed under: Brevundimonas diminuta
Lineage: Bacteria; Pseudomonadati; Pseudomonadota; Alphaproteobacteria; Caulobacterales; Caulobacteraceae
Description: partial 16S ribosomal RNA
Rfam family: Bacterial small subunit ribosomal RNA
Source: RNAcentral